This 1091-nucleotide long non-coding RNA is filed under the name Monodelphis domestica (gray short-tailed opossum). RNAcentral describes it as "lncRNA (ENSMODG00000049872.1)". The record is from RNAcentral. Lineage: Eukaryota; Metazoa; Chordata; Mammalia; Didelphimorphia; Didelphidae.
GAUAUCUUUUUCAUUUAUCUAUGAUUUAAACAGCUUUACAGCAAAGGCUGCUGAAAUGCCUUCUUUAACCAAAUUGUCAUUAUAAAGGCUGUUAAGAAUGGAUGCAUUAAGUGUCCCAUUGGCCAGAAGAACCCAGUCAGCAUGGCUAGUUUGUUCCUCUUAGACUCUGAAAAACCCUUUAAGAAUAGCAGCAGCUUUUUAACUUCAUCCUCAAAUCCCUUUUCAAGGCUUGCAUGGUCUCUAGGUCUUCUUGUGCUGCAAAUACAGACAUCUGUACGCAUCAUAUCUGCCAGCAUGCCACCAGCCACCAGAAUGUCAGAGAGUGUUUCUGCAUAUCGGCGAUAAUCAAGUUUGCCCCAGAAGCAUCAAGAAAUUUUGCUACUGCUUCCAAAUCAGUGCCAGUUUCAGUUAAACCUUGAAUAAUAUAGUCCUGAAGCUGAGUAGGGUCAAACCUCUCUUUUUCAUCUCUUUUUCUAGUUUUAAAAAGCUGGCCUGAUAGGGUUGGCUUUUGCUGCUUUUGAUUAUUCAUAAAAGACACCCAAUUUUAAGGCAGAGAGAAAAGAGCCAGAAAUCCCUGAGGUGGCGGUAACUGCUGGGAAAAGUUUUAAAAGAAUUUAAAGGCCAAAGAUAAUUGCCAUUGCUAUAGAAGGUGUCCAGUGCAAAGGCCAAAUAGAGGAUGGAUUCCCUUUAGACAUUGAUGAUAAAAUGCUGAUUGAAUCAAGCCCCAGAAUUCUACAUUGACUCCUUAAUGAAAUUCACAAACACUGCAAAGAAUUAGAACUGACAACCCACACACAAAAGAACAAAUUUUGAAGUAUAUUUUAAAAAUUUACCACCUUUCUUGAUCCUUUUCUUUCUUGGAUAAUACAUGUUUUAUUUUUUCUGGAUUAGAUGUAGACACAGUUUUAAUAGUUGUUUUCUGACAUUUGUGAGCCAUGUUCUUUCCCUCCCUGAGAUGACAGCUAAUAGGCUAUAGGUUGGACUUGUGCUAUCAUGCAAUAUAUAAUUCUGUAUUUGUCAUGUUGUGAAAGAAGACACUUAUACCAGAAAAAAAUUUGUGGAAGAAAUAAAGUGAAAAAUAGUAUGAUUCA